UACAGAGGGGGCAAGCGUUGUUCGGAAUUACUGGGCGUAAAGGGCGCGUAGGCGGCCUGCUAAGUCGAACGUGAAAUCCCCGGGCUCAACCCGGGAACUGCGUCCGAUACUGGCAGGCUUGAAUCCGGGAGAGGGAUGUGGAAUUCCAGGUGUAGCGGUGAAAUGCGUAGAUAUCUGGAGGAACACCGGUGGCGAAGGCGGCAUCCUGGACCGGCAUUGACGCUGAGGCGCGAAAGCAUGGGGAGCGAACAGG
This 253-nucleotide ribosomal RNA is filed under the name uncultured bacterium. RNAcentral describes it as "partial 16S ribosomal RNA". It matches the Rfam family "Bacterial small subunit ribosomal RNA", at positions 524 to 776 of the family's 1533-position model. The record is from RNAcentral.